Long non-coding RNA from Spodoptera frugiperda (fall armyworm), 966 nucleotides. RefSeq lists it as uncharacterized. The record is from RefSeq and is a predicted model, not a curated record. The transcript has 3 exons. NCBI's taxonomy places the organism in Eukaryota, Metazoa, Arthropoda, Insecta, Lepidoptera, Noctuidae.
CUAGGGGACUUUCCCCUACAGGUAGGUAUAUUAUUUUGUGUUAUCGUUUCUUCGAUACUGCUGUUUAUAAUUUCUAAGGUAUGUGAUUAGGAUAACCCCUAAUCAUCAACAAAAUUCAUAUCUUUAGCCAUUGCACUUAUCGAUUCACGGCUGUAUCAUGUAAAGAAUCACUUUGCAAUUAGUAAUCACAUAAUAUUAAUAGCGUACAUUCUUUAAUUUCAUAGUUAUUUAUUGAAAGUAUUGAAUUACUUAAAGUCGUGUUUCAAGUUUUAAUUACACCUGUGGUACUAGUUGUCCUUGAAGUGAUUGGCCGCCGCACCGAAAUCCGUCUGAAAUCGUACAUAAUUUAAGUGAUGGCAGCCCGCUGCGUUGUUUAGCCGUUCAGAGUAUCGUUGGAGGCCGAGUAAUCGAGUGUAGCAUGUUUGCUUGUGCCGAUUCAUCCUUGUCUUUGGGAUCGAGGAACAGCUCAAGUCGCUCUAUUACCUGAGAGAAAUGGGAGGGAAUGCCAGAACGUUACUGACUGAAAACCACCUCGUUCCAACUCCUGCUCCGUGCUGGGGCCUCGGUACCUAUUUGACGAUCUACCUUCAUCCUCGGACAAUUUCAGUCUUCUAGUCAUCAUUUAAUGUUACGAUUUCAUCUUCCGGGUCUAAUACUGGUAAACACAUUGUGCCUCUCAUGUCGUGCAAAAGCAAACCCAUAUGCCACACGAUAGUCAUGGUGUCUGACCAACGGCCUAUGAUCAGACACCAUGACUAUCGUUUAACAUUUUUGUCAUACAUUAUUUCUGUGUAGCUUUAACCAUUAAGGCUGCAUACGCGACGGAAGCUUAAAAAAUGAAGUAAGUUCUCCUGUUUUUCCAACAUUUCCCUUCACUGCUCGGCUCCUAUUGAUCGUAGCGUGAUGAAAAGUAUCCUAUUUUAUGCCCAGGUUAACAAAAAUUUUUUUAAUCACAUAUUUGGGUUU